RNAcentral lists this ribosomal RNA (425 nucleotides) under uncultured bacterium. RNAcentral's name for it is "bacterial SSU rRNA". It matches the Rfam family "Bacterial small subunit ribosomal RNA", at positions 359 to 776 of the family's 1533-position model. The record is from RNAcentral.
GAAUUUUGGACAAUGGGCGCAAGCCUGAUCCAGCCAUUCCGCGUGCAGGAUGAAGGCCCUCGGGUUGUAAACUGCUUUUGGACGGAACGAAAAGGCCUUUUCUAAUACAGAGGGCUCAUGACGGUACCGUCAGAAUAAGCACCGGCUAAAUACGUGCCAGCAGCCGCGGUAAUACGUAGGGUGCAAGCGUUAAUCGGAAUUACUGGGCGUAAAGCGUGCGCAGGCGGUGAUGUAAGACAGGUGUGAAAUCCCCGGGCUUAACCUGGGAACUGCAUUUGUGACUGCAUCGCUGGAGUGCGGCAGAGGGGGAUGGAAUUCCGCGUGUAGCAGUGAAAUGCGUAGAUAUGCGGAGGAACACCGAUGGCGAAGGCAAUCCCCUGGGCCUGCACUGACGCUCAUGCACGAAAGCGUGGGGAGCAAACAGG